AUGAAAUAUUAGUUCUGGUUGCUAGUGCAGAUCUGGACUCGGAUCAAGGGUGUCGAGAGGGUCCUGGGUCCUGUUCCUUUGCCUUUCAAAAAGACUUUUUACGGAUUGAGAAUUUUUAAAUACCACUAGGGGAAAGGUGAAGGUUCUUUGCAGCCUUCAGUGUUGAAAUGGACGAAGGUAAGGAAGGCAAAUCAUUUUAAGACGAAAUCUCCGAUUUUUUAAAAAAGGAGGAAAAAAGCAGGGUGGCUAAGGAUAAAGAAAGAGGACUUGAGAAAAUGUGGAGAAUGAAAAACAGGAGAGCAGCGAGCAAAAGCAAAGAUCCAGAGUUCAAAGAGACUGGCAGAAGGAAAUAGCUGCGGGCUGAGUGCUGAAGAGGGGAGGGACUGACGGCUGCCGGCCGGUAGGAGCGCGGAGCUGCGCUGCGGCGGCCCAGGAGCUGCUGCGGUUCCCGCUGCUCGGGGAGCAGGCGGUGUGUGCGCGGCUGCGAAGUCGAGGUUGAAACUGCACCGCCAAGGCGCGCUCCUGCUGUGUCUGGAGCUCCGGCGUCUCCUCUGCCUCCCAGCUCAGCGCCUCCCACCCUCCUUCCCUCCUCCUCUUCCCAGCUCCCCCGCCCUCUGCUGCUCGCAGCCUCGCCAGUGAGAAUCUACUGUAAGUGUGAGUUGCUUCGACGAAGUCACACACCCACGGAGGGAAGUAAUCUGGAGGCUGCCUUGAAGUCUGAAAGCAGGUUCUUUUUAUUAUAAUGUGCUCCGAAUGGAUGAAGCAAAUUUAGAGGAAGAGCAGUGAAUCAGUUUCUCAGUUUGGCAAAAAGCCUCACGGGCAUGUACAGGAAGCCUUCCUGCAGACAUCCACAGUGAACAAGUCUAAGGACAAUAGCUUUCGUUGGCCCCCAAUAGAAGGCAUUUUUAGUGAUGUGUGGCCUCACCACUUAAAUCCAGUUUAUUGAAUCUGAAGUGAUUUGCUCCUCUUUCUGGACUACACAAUAAACACCCUCCAACGUCCCCAGCCAUGCUCUUCCCAUCAUUUGGCUGAAAGGGGAGGAAUUCAAGGCCUUAGAGUGGGGAAGCUACAAUUUGGAAGAAUCCUGGAAGCACAGAUUACCCUGUGAAGCAGCAUCCCCAUGAGGGUCUCUUUCUUCUGUGAUAUAAGCAAGAAAUAAAUGAAUUGUGCAAAUCC
RNAcentral lists this long non-coding RNA (1176 nucleotides) under Homo sapiens (human). RNAcentral describes it as "non-protein coding EPHA5-AS1:3". Lineage: Eukaryota; Metazoa; Chordata; Mammalia; Primates; Hominidae. The record is from RNAcentral.